Molecule: long non-coding RNA, 317 nt
Filed under: Mytilus galloprovincialis (Mediterranean mussel)
Lineage: Eukaryota; Metazoa; Mollusca; Bivalvia; Mytilida; Mytilidae
Source: RNAcentral
CGUGAUUCCUACCGAGACCACUUCCAAAAAUAUCGCGCACAUGGUUGAAAAUUCCCCUUUUUACCUUACAUCUAUACACCUGGAAGUCUGGGCUGAGAAUGAUUUCUAGCAGACAAUAUCUGCACGAGCUAAAUUUUCCCCGGGAAUUCAAUCGAGCUCUCUGAUUGGUUGAGAAGGGAAAACUAUUUUUAAUGCUAAUGCGAGGUUCGUUACGUCACUAAAAUUUAAUGAAUGAAAUAAAAAUCGGAAAGUAAUAAAAUAAUAAAAAGCAAUCUUUCUGGAAAAAUAAUUAAAAAUAGUAAUAAUGAAAUAAAUAA